UACGGGGGGGGCAAGCGUUGUUCGGAAUUACUGGGCGUAAAGGGUUCGUAGGUGGCCAACUAAGUCAGACGUGAAAUCCCUCAGCUCAACUGGGGAACUGCGUCUGAUACUGGCAGGCUUGAAUCCGGGAGAGGGAUGCGGAAUUCCAGGUGUAGCGGUGAAAUGCGUAGAUAUCUGGAGGAACACCGGUGGCGAAGGCGGCAUCCUGGACCGGCAUUGACGCUGAGGCGCGAAAGCCAGGGGAGCAAACGGG
This 253-nucleotide ribosomal RNA is filed under the name uncultured bacterium. RNAcentral describes it as "partial 16S ribosomal RNA". It matches the Rfam family "Bacterial small subunit ribosomal RNA", at positions 524 to 776 of the family's 1533-position model. The record is from RNAcentral.